UGUACAAGUAGUUCAGGAUCUGGUCACAAAUAUGCACUAAGCUGCUGGUCCUUCUGGGGUGAAAUUCACCUUGGACAGAGACAAGAAUUGCACCUUGUUAGCUCAAAAAAAAGAUUAUAUAACAGCUCUCAAGAGGAAGCUGCUAACAAGCCCAUCUGAUAUUCUGUGCCAGCUUUUUUAGUGGAGGCGUGCUGCAUGAGACUGAGCUCCACCCUGUUUGUCGAGCAAAGCGUUUGGAAAAUGACACAGCCUGAAGAAAAACGGGAAUUCAAAAUCUGGCUCCAGAUUUCCUUGUGAACCAGUCUGCUCCUCCGCAUCUCUAGAAAGGGACAGUUCUCCUGUGCUGUAAAUGAUACCUGAGGCUUGACAUCUAUGCAGUCUCCAAAGACAGAAUCUAAAAAGUAAAACCUACAAGCUCAGGUAAGCUCAGGUGAACUCAGCUGCUAAUAUGCAGAAAUAAGCUGGUUUUACCAUAAUUUUAU
Molecule: long non-coding RNA, 482 nt
Filed under: Calidris pygmaea (Spoon-billed sandpiper)
Lineage: Eukaryota; Metazoa; Chordata; Aves; Charadriiformes; Scolopacidae
Description: lncRNA (ENSCPGG00000008672.1)
Source: RNAcentral